UCGCGGCUUAUCACCGGCAGUCCCUUUAGAGUGCUCACCGUUACGUGUUAGCAACUAAAGGCAGGGGUUGCGCUCGUUGCGGGACUUAACCCAACAUCUCACGACACGAGCUGACGACAACCAUGCACCACCUGUGCACGACCCUUACGGACCCACCAUCUCUGGAGGAUUUCCGUGCAUGUCAAGCCUAGGUAAGGUUCUUCGCGUUGCAUCGAAUUAAGCAACAUGCUCCACCGCUUGUGCGGGCCCCCGUCAAUUCCUUUGAGUUUCAGCCUUGCGGCCGUACUCCCCAGGCGGGGCACUUAAUGCGUUAGCGCCGGCACCCAGGGGGUCGCUCCCCCAGGCACCUAGUGCCCAUCGUUUACGGCGUGGACUAC
This 377-nucleotide unclassified non-coding RNA is filed under the name uncultured bacterium. RNAcentral's name for it is "contains 16S-23S intergenic spacer region". The record is from RNAcentral.